Long non-coding RNA from Apis mellifera (honey bee), 3926 nucleotides. RefSeq lists it as uncharacterized. NCBI's taxonomy places the organism in Eukaryota, Metazoa, Arthropoda, Insecta, Hymenoptera, Apidae. The record is from RefSeq and is a predicted model, not a curated record. The transcript is spliced from 7 exons.
AUGCGUAGUACCUUAAUCUAACUGCGUCACAAGAACGUUACUCGUCGUUUAGGAUACCGAUGUUAUACUACAGUUAAUUAGAGGAAUUACCUCUCGCUAGCCUGAUGUACGUUUGUACAAGUUAAGCUUUAUUUAUAAACAGAAACAAGAUGACUCACUUAAAAUAUUGGCUUCCUAGCUGGAAUCAGAAAGAGAACGAUGUUUUGGAUAGUCGCCAUUAGAGAUUUCUCGAGAUCAAGGCUAAUACUUCGUUGAGAUUUUCGUGAUUGGAUUCGUGAGUGAAUUUUUUAAAACUUUUAAGUGAAUUAUUAAGUAACUGUGAUUAUGAGUGUGUACCAAAUAGUAUUAUCUUAUUGUAAAAGUGUUGUGAAUUAUUAUUCAAUAAAAACUCGGGAGACAACAGGAGACAAGAAAAGAAGACAAGUUACGUCACUGCUGCACGGCUAAAAGAGUCCAAGUGGAAAAAAAACGCAGCAGUGUUUGAACUCGCCCGUAGAAAUGUGACUCGCGUAUUCUCGACGCGAGAAACGUCGGCUAUAUUUUACGGUUCGCCACUGAGCGUGGGGCACCGAGGAUUUGAAAUAUAGCGACGAUCCUCACCGCAGCCCCACGAGAACAUCCGCCAAUUUCUGGCUCAUUUGUCCUGUCUUCGUUUCCUGCAAGACCCUGCUUCGUUUUUAAGGUGAGGAGCAUUGUCCAUGAGAUGGUAGAAGAGGUUUGAAGGAAAUGAUCUGCGCUCCGAGAUAAUUCCAUGAUCAACGUAUUUAAACGAUUUUAAUCAGUUAAUGACUGGACAGUGGACGAUAUAUCCAUCUUGGUUCAAUGAAACGAAGACGACUCGGCCUUUCAUUGGACGAUAUCCUCACUCGUCAUCUCACUUCGCUUGUCGUACUAAUGAAAGAGCAGAAUCUGAAUGGAAUAAUAGAUAUCUAUGAUUAUUCACAAUAAUGAUAAAAGUGAUUCCAAUAUUAUUCAAAUUUGUAUUGGAAAGUUUUCGAGCAACAGAAUCUUUCUUCUUUGGAAAAUUAUGAUAAAGUUGAAAGAAAAUACUGGCUGAAAUAUAUAUAUAUAUAUAUAAGAAAAGAUUGAUUCUCUCUGGAUUAGAAUAAAGUUAUUCAAAUAAGUCGAUCGGCACGAAGUUUAUAUGUUGGACUGUCGACAAGGAAAUCGACACGAAAUAACACGAGUUGGUUGUAACCUCAAUCGCUUCGAGCAUUCUUUAAUCCCCCGCUGGAAAAAAGGAGGAUUAAAAAAAUAUAGAAUUUAAAUAAGCAUCUUCAAGAAUCACUGACCCGUACCUUAAAUCCGUUUAACAAGGGGAGUACUGAUUUACCUGGAGGAUUUCUCAGGGAUAUUGCAACCCCUUCCAUUGUCUUGUGGAUGGAGCGUCUCUUGGUGGUGUAACUAGUUUUUGUCACAGGUAGACGAAAAUGGAGGAAACACGAAAAGAAACGAUAUAUCGUGAACGAAUAUAUUUUUAUUUCCAAAAAUUUCGAUCCUGAAAGUGUUAAAUACUAUUGUUACGGGACAGCCACGUGAAAUUAAUAAAUCAAUUUGUAUAAAUGAUUACAAAUUGUUGUAACUAUUAUAAAGAUUGUAAAAAUAUAUUACGAAAGAACGAGUAUCAAAUGCAACAAUAUGAAGAAUUAUAACAAAAGUAAUACACUAAGUCAGGCUGUUUGGAUUAUUCUCCCAAGGAGGGAGUGACACUUCGUCGAUAUGAUGAACGGAAGUGUAGAGAUGGUCUCCUGCUCGAAGUAUUUUCGUUAUGAAACGAGAAACUGUCUCUAAAUUUUUGGAAUUAAAAAUUGAAGAUCGCAGAAGGAUGGAGAAAAGAAGAUGCGUAAUGAGUAAGAUUGAUUGAAUUACAAGUAGAAUCUGCGUUACAAAAUAAAAAGGAAAGAAAUGUGUUAAUUGAAUAAUUGAUCGAUGAACCGAUUCAAUUUGGCGAGGAGGGAUGUUAAACGGUGUUGGAAGAAUUCCGGGAUGAAAGAAAGCAUCGAAACGCCGUCAGUUUCCGGGGCGAGGAAAUUGAAAUCCAUAUAAAGUUCUUAAUUAGAGUCCCGGAUGGGGAUGUACACGGACCAACUUGUAACGCCGCGCACUCGAACAGGUCGAAGUUUCAAUUUCAGCUGGGGGAGAAGUCGACGUCGUCGCCUCGUUAAGGGCAACAGUUUCCAACUCAUCCUGGUGCACGGUGUGUACCGAGCGCGAUUGGCAAACGUUUUCGCUUCAAAAGUCGGGGCCAGGACGAUACGGAUUGCCAUUGGAGAACAAAUACGUGCCUGGGCGCUUCGAGGGACAACUGGGAUUGGAUCGAAUAUCUUGGAUGAUAAUGAUUUAUAAUGCGUGUGACGUAAUUUUUGUUUGUAUUAAAAGUUUUUUUUUUUAAAGCAUUGUGAAAAUAGGGAUUUGUGUAUUUAUGAUGCGAAAGGAAAGAAUGUUUAACCAAGGAACAAUGUUGAACAAUGUUGCAUUGAGUGGAAGAAUAAAAAAUAAAGUUAUUAAAAUCGUGUGUGGAUACGAAAUUUGUAUCGUCGAAUUAUCGUGUUUAAGCAUUUAAUUGGAAAAAAUGAAAUGAUAUCAAAGAAGAAUGAUAUCAAAAUCAAGAAACAAUUCGAGUCACUUUUGAAAAAUCGGCAGAGAGUAAUUCGAGUAAUUGGCAGGAAACUACGAAGUAUAGUUUUAAUCAACUGUUCUAUUAAUUCGUAAUAUCAAUUUUGGAGUCGCAUCGAAAAAUCUAAUUCCGUUAAAACUCGUUGCAAACAACUCGUCCUACGUUUCGCAUGGUGCAAUCUGUUUGGUUACGUCUGGCCAAUUUAAAUGCGCUUCAAAAACACAGGUCGAGCCUGAAAUUCACUUGAAAAAUAAGAGAAACCGUUAAAGGGAAUUUCCAAUUUUAAUCUUUAGUCGGUGAUUCACGAAUAAAACGGAUUAUUAAAAGCUUAAGAUUAAAUGCGUUAUACAAUAAUUUUAAGUAACGAACGAAAAUUAAUACAUUAAUUAUACAUUUCUUUAAAAUUGGAUCGUUUCCAUUUAUCGUACAAGUACGAUACUUUCAAUUUCAAUAAAAAAAAAAGAAAAAAACUUUGAAAAUCUCUUCUUUGCAUCCAUCCGCAAAAAAAAUAAAACCAAAAAAAAAAAAAAAAGCAAAAAGCGUGCGGAUACACGUGCGACACACGUGGAAAUUCGACGGAACCGCACAGGAAACCAGAAUGCGCCCCUGCCAAGAUAUAAGCUUUAAUUCCCCCGCUAUAUCCAGUGGUGUUUUCCGUUUUACGGUGUUGGCGAGGCGCGCGCGGAAAAUCGAUACGCGCACGCCACUCCCUGGCAAAAUAACCGAGUUGGAAUUUCUAUCCGCGAACGACAUCGUGUUUAUGCAGAUGCGGCCACCCGGAAGCGUGGCACACGGGGCAAUAACGUGUAAUCGACCACUUGCCGUGCCUCUCCACUUUCUUACCGACCGAGCUUCGACGUAUCGACCCCUCUUCCACCAUCCUCCCCCCCCUCCAUUUACCCAACUUUCUCCUGGCUCGAUAGCCGACGCUGAAUCGCGGAUUAUUUACGGUGCAAUGGAACGUCGAAGAGGAUCUAUGACGCGUGGAUCUAUACACAUAUGAUUAAAAUUGACGAGAGAGAGAGAGAGAGAGAGAGAGAGAAUAAUUGAAAUGAUGUGAACAGUUGUUACAUUGUAAUUUUUAUAAUUUCAGAUUCGAGCGUGUGGCAAGAUUCUCUUCUCGAGAAAGCAGAGGAAGAAAUCUUAUCAUUAUAUAUAUAUAUAUAUAUAUGAAGGAAAAAUGGUUACGAAUUCCAUUUGUAUCUAAACGAUUAAUAAAAUGGGAAUUUAUAUAUAAACUUUUCUUUCGUUUAGAAUUCGAUGUUAAAAUAUAUUUUAUCCGAUAAAUGGUUCACGUUUUCGCGUUUCG